Molecule: ribosomal RNA, 250 nt
Filed under: uncultured bacterium
Lineage: Bacteria
Description: partial 16S ribosomal RNA
Rfam family: Bacterial small subunit ribosomal RNA
Source: RNAcentral
UACGGAGGAUGCAAGCGUUAUCCGGAAUUAUUGGGCGUAAAGCGUCCGUAGGCGGUUUUACAAGUCUGCUGUUAAAGCGUGCAGCUUAACUGCAUAUAGGCAGUGGAAACUGUAAGACUAGAGUGUAGUAGGGGUAGAGGGAAUUCCCAGUGUAGCGGUGAAAUGCGUAGAUAUUGGGAAGAACACCGGUGGCGAAAGCGCUCUACUGGGCUACAACUGACGCUGAUGGACGAAAGCUAGGGGAGCGAAA